This is a long non-coding RNA of Dunckerocampus dactyliophorus (ringed pipefish), 1412 nucleotides long. RefSeq lists it as uncharacterized. Lineage: Eukaryota; Metazoa; Chordata; Actinopteri; Syngnathiformes; Syngnathidae. The record is from RefSeq and is a predicted model, not a curated record. The transcript is spliced from 2 exons.
CACUGCCAAAGCCCCCUUCAAUAUCAGCUUGCGUGUAUAAGACUAAACCUCCCCCCGCCCCCAGCCGCAUUGUUCAGCAUUAUUCUGCCCCGACAAUGGGAAAUCACACUUUGAAAGUCAUUUUCCAAAAGGGGGAAGCCAAUCAAAAAUAAUGGCACUUAUUGUUUCUCUUUGGCUGAGCGGCCUGCCCCUCCCUCGGCUUCAUUCACAUCCAUUAUACAGACAAAUUAAAUAAAAGCGAGUAUGGGGUCGGAGGAGGGCUGAGAGCUGCCAUGACCAUCGCCAGAGGCGUUCAGGCUCAGGAGGAGCUCUGUGGAGCCAGAGGAGAGGGAAGCGCCGAGAGAUGCUGAAGCACAACACGGCAUCGUCACUCUUCUUGAAGGCGGACACGCUGAGCUGCGGGCAACUUUGGCCAACCGGUCUUUUUCCGCCUGUCCUGCAAAAGCUCCAACUUAGAAUAACUGGAUGACGGGAGGCCCGCUGAGAGGAGGGGAAGGAAGUUGCUAAGCCUGCUGCCAACCCUGUGAUGACCGUGGCGGCUUCUCGUUCUCUCCGACAUGUUGGAUGCGCAUGCACCCCCCACCCCCAAUAAAACAUACGCGGGAACACCAGCAAUGCAUCCAGGCGUGACGCAGAAAAAACCCAAAGCACGACCACAGGAAGCCAUCAUCUCAUCUGACUGAUGAAAUAACCUUUGUGUGACCAACUCACGCGUCGGGAACGGAUCCCAUCCACGCGCUGAGUGGGACAAUAAAGCAGGUGCGGGGGUACACAUGGAGAUGAAGACACAGAAACAACACGGAAUACUGAAUGCGACUAAAUUGCCACCAUUUAUGCAAUAAAAUUCACAUUGACGGUCUUGGCUGUGGGGAAUGGAUUUGGAUGAUGAGAAAAUGAGUGUGAGUGUCUCAUUGCAGCACUUUUUUUUGUAUUUUUUAAUAUUUAAAAAUGUAUUAAAAGAGCCCAUUAGCGCAUGCGUGUGUGUGUUAAAUGGCGUUUUCUCUGGCGCUAGCAAACAAAAGGGUGUUUUGAAUGGCACAUGCUCUGCGUCAGUCAAGCGUUCCCUAGCAACAGACACAACACAAAUGCACCUGUGGCUGUGAAUGGGAGACCUGUUGUUUGCCAAAUGAACAAGUAUAUGCAAAACAUACAAUUUACAGAGCUGGGUGUGUUUCUCACAUACGUUCUGAUUAGAUUAGAUCGUACAACUUUAUUGAUCCCUUGGGCGUGCGUCUGGAACGCCGCAUGUUGUCUAACCAAGGCAAGAAAAUAGCAUAUUGUCCCAUUUAAAAAUGCACAGUUUUAUGUUUGUUUAUGUAGACCUGUCAUAACCUGUCUUCUUAUUAGCUCGGGAAAAUCAUGUUUUCUUUGUAUGUUUUUUUUUUAGAUUCAUUAAAAGUCAUCUAAUUGAA